CAUGCAUAUGAAUUUCAUUAAUUUUAAAUACCAAUACUGGUUUUGAAAAGACUGGUUCAUAUAAUAUGCUUAAUUAUGUUGUGGUUUUUCUGUACCAAGGAAUGAUCCUGGUGAGUGGUUAAAAUAUUUGUUGGCACAUGUGGCUGUGUUAGUGAGAGGUCAAUAUGCAGCCUUUUCCACUAAUUAGCUUGAUUUUGGUAAGUUCAGAUUCUGAGAAGGAAAAGAAAGCCUCAGGGGCAGAGUAUUCAGGAGGACACCAAUCCAAACCCAUGUCUGAGGCAGCUUGAAAGAAGGUUUGCUGCAGGGAAGAGAUGGAAAGAGCGAAAUAGAGAUGGCAGGGGCGUGAUCUGUUGUAGGUAUCAAGUGAAGUAAUCCUUCCUUCCCUGCUGUUUGUUUUCGCAAGUCUGUUUUGCACAACUCUGUUUGCAGUGCAUGCAGUAACUUACCGAUUGCGUUUUGAGGGUUUUAGGUGUCAAAUAUGACCGAACCAUUAAAAUAAAAGUUGUAUAUCUUUUCAAGACCUUUCCAACGAAUGUUUAUUUCCAAUUUUUCUUCAGGUAUUCUAGGAGAUAUGCCUAUCUGAAAUUACUAUUAGUUUUCGUCAGACUGUAGUUUCAGUCAUGACUUCCUAUUUUGCGGGCGGUUUAAAGUAACUUCAAGGCUGAAUCUGUCCAUGGGGCUAUGGAUGUAUUUUCAGUAUUUGGUUUGAGAUUUCCAUGGAUAAUUUAUUCUCAAUUUUUCGCUGAGUAUAGUGAAAGAUACACCCUUCUGAAUGUGAGAUCUUCCUGAAACUAUAUAGUUUUGGUUGUGAGUUUCAAAUUGGUUUACCAUUUUAACGGUACUUAGAGGCCGAUUGUAUUGUCUUGAAUGAAACUGUUGCAUAUUGCUUUAGAGGUUUUCUGAUACGGUCAUAGCUGCCGCAACUAACGAAUCAUUAACUCCCUCAUCGUGUAACUUCCCUGCUGCAGGUGAUUGGAUCAGCGAACCUUCUCUGUAGUUUAAGAUUUGAUCAGUUGGAGGAACGUGGUAAGUCCCUGGCAAAAUUCUUUCGCCUUGUUAAUUCCGCGUUUUUUAGCAGUGCAGCUGGUCCAUGUUGUACCAUCAGAGUCAUCGAUCUUUGACAGAAUGUAUUGCAUGAGCAGUAUAGUAUUCUCUCAUAUUAUGUGAACCCUCAGAUACCUUUCCAUGAGACUGAAACCAACUGUUUCCCAAAUUCUUAUGUGUUUGUGUAUAUGAUGGUACAUAAGUGAGUUUCACCAUUAUUGGUCUAUUUCUUGAUGUUUUUUCCAAGGAUAUUCGAUUGUUGAGUUAAUUGUCAGUGAUGCCAUCACACUGAGUUGCCGUUAAACUGUAAAAGUUACGUUUUUUUUUGUUUACCAAUGCAAUUAUUUUAAU
RNAcentral lists this long non-coding RNA (1395 nucleotides) under Triticum aestivum (bread wheat). RNAcentral describes it as "long non-coding RNA (TAES_LNC023224)". The record is from RNAcentral. Lineage: Eukaryota; Viridiplantae; Streptophyta; Magnoliopsida; Poales; Poaceae.